This 383-nucleotide unclassified non-coding RNA is filed under the name soil metagenome. RNAcentral's name for it is "partial contains 5.8S ribosomal RNA, internal transcribed spacer 2, and large subunit ribosomal RNA". The stretch from base 1 to 120 matches the Rfam family "5.8S ribosomal RNA", at positions 35 to 154 of the family's 154-position model. The record is from RNAcentral.
GAUGAAGAACGUAGCGAAGUGCGAUAAGUAAUGUGAAUUGCAGAAUUCCGUGAAUCAUCGAAUCUUUGAACGCAAAUUGCACUCUCUGGUAUCCCGGGGAGUAUGCCUGUUUGAGGGUCAGUGUUAAUAAAAAUCGGUGCGUUGCACUUUAUUGUGACGUUCUGGAGUUUGAGUUAUCUUAACUUUUAGGUUAAGAGGCUUAAAAUUGACCUUUUUUUUGUGCAUUUUAGACGUACAUAAAUUUUCUUUUAUUUGUCUUUUAAUGCCAAAAUUAUAUUAGAUGCGAGCAUAUCGUGUGGUUUCGUGUCUAUAAAUUUUUCAUGAUUUGACCUCAAAUCAGGUAGGAGUACCCGCUGAACUUAAGCAUAUCAAUAAGCGGAGGA